AUGAACGCUAGCGACAGGCUUAACACAUGCAAGUCAGGGGUAACAGGGUAGCAAUACCGCUGACGACCGGCGCACGGGUGAGUAACGCGUAUGCAACCUGCCUAUAACUGGGGAAUAGCUACCCUGAAAGGGGAAUUAACACCGCAUAACACGUAUUGAUUCGCAUGGAUUGGUAGUUAAAUGUAGCGAGUACAGGUUAUAGAUGGGCAUGCGUGACAUUAGCUAGUUGGUGAGGUAACGGCUCACCAAGGCUACGAUGUCUAGGGGUUCUGAGAGGAAGGUCCCCCCACACUGGUACUGAGACACGGACCAGACUCCUACGGGAGGCAGCAGUGAGGAAUAUUGGUCAAUGGGCGCAAGCCUGAACCAGCCAUGUCGCGUGCAGGAAGAACCUGCCCUAUGGGUUGUAAACUGCUUUUAUAGUAGAAGAAACACAUCUACGUGUAGAUGUCUGCCAGUAUACUAUGAAUAAGCAUCGGCUAACUCCGUGCCAGCCGCGGC
This 501-nucleotide ribosomal RNA is filed under the name uncultured bacterium. RNAcentral's name for it is "bacterial SSU rRNA". It matches the Rfam family "Bacterial small subunit ribosomal RNA", at positions 29 to 518 of the family's 1533-position model. The record is from RNAcentral.